Molecule: long non-coding RNA, 233 nt
Organism: Ornithodoros turicata
Lineage: Eukaryota; Metazoa; Arthropoda; Arachnida; Ixodida; Argasidae
Exons: 4
Source: RefSeq, a predicted model, not a curated record
AGUGGUGGAAGAAGAAGAAGAAGACCAGAACAACCAGAAAUUUGUUCGUUUCAGAUACUUCCAUAUUCACCCGACUUGGGCCCGCAAGAACAUAUCCGUUCGACCUUCAAGAUGGGUGAAUCUGAGUAUGCCAGCGCAAUGACUUCUUCGGCAUAUGGAACUGGCUUGUCUGGAACCAUUGAGAGCACUAUGGAUGCGAACAAAACGGAUCAGGGCGCUGCAGACAAUGCCGG